Molecule: transfer RNA, 66 nt
Filed under: Rotunda rotundapex
Lineage: Eukaryota; Metazoa; Arthropoda; Insecta; Lepidoptera; Bombycidae
Description: tRNA-Pro
Source: RNAcentral
CAAGGAAUAGUUUAAUAAAAAUAAUAAUUUUGGAGAUUAUUGAUAGAGAGAUUUUCUUUCUUUGAA